Molecule: ribosomal RNA, 520 nt
Filed under: uncultured Glomeromycotina
Lineage: Eukaryota; Fungi; Glomeromycota
Description: SSU rRNA
Rfam family: Eukaryotic small subunit ribosomal RNA
Source: RNAcentral
AGCAGCCGCGGUAAUUCCAGCUCCAAUAGCGUAUAUUAAAGUUGUUGCAGUUAAAAAGCUCGUAGUUGAAUUUCGGGAUUCUACCGUUGGUCGGGCUAUUGUCUGUACUGGCGUGUAGAAUUUCUACCUUCUGGGGAACUAUCAUGUUAUUAAUUUAGCGUGGUAGGAAACCAGGACCUUUACCUUGAAAAAAAUUAGAGUGUUCAAAGCAGGCUUAUGUCUGAAUACAUUAGCAUGGAAUAAUAAAAUAGGACGGUGGUCCUGUUUUGUUGGUUUCUGAAUCACCGUAAUGAUUAAUAGGGAUAGUUGGGGGCAUUAGUAUUCAAUUGUCAGAGGUGAAAUUCUUGAAUUUAUUGAAGACUAACUACUGCGAAAGCAUUUGCCAAGGAUGUUUUCAUUAAUCAAGAACGAAAGUUAGGGGAUCGAAGACGAUCAGAUACCGUCGUAGUCUUAACCAUAAACUAUGCCGACUAGGGAUCGGACGAUGUUAACUUUCUUGACUCGUUCGGCGCCUUACGGA